GACGAACCGUGCGAACGUUGUUCGGAAUCACUGGGCUUAAAGGGCGCGUAGGCGGGUCGGCAAGUCCGGGGUGAAAGCCCCCAGCUUAACUGGGGAAGUGCCUUGGAUACUGCCGGUCUAGAGCGAGGUAGGGGCAUGUGGAACUUCGGGUGGAGCGGUGAAAUGCGUUGAUAUCCGAAGGAACGCCGGUGGCGAAAGCGACGUGCUGGACCUUUUCUGACGCUGAGGCGCGAAAGCCAGGGGAGCAAACGGG
This 253-nucleotide ribosomal RNA is filed under the name uncultured bacterium. RNAcentral describes it as "partial 16S ribosomal RNA". It matches the Rfam family "Bacterial small subunit ribosomal RNA", at positions 524 to 776 of the family's 1533-position model. The record is from RNAcentral.